RNAcentral lists this ribosomal RNA (485 nucleotides) under Anoplodactylus eroticus. RNAcentral's name for it is "partial 16S ribosomal RNA". It matches the Rfam family "Bacterial large subunit ribosomal RNA", at positions 1829 to 2600 of the family's 2925-position model. The record is from RNAcentral. Lineage: Eukaryota; Metazoa; Arthropoda; Pycnogonida; Pantopoda; Phoxichilidiidae.
GCUUAAAGAGUAUUAAUUUUAAGUGUAACCUGCUCAAUGAAUAAAUUUAAAUAGCUGCAGUAAUUUGACUGUACUAAGGUAGCAUAAUAAUUUGUCUUUUAAUUGAAGACUGGAAUGAAGGGUUGAACAUAAAAAAUUCUGUCUCUAUUUUUAUUUUUGAAAUUGAUUUUUAUGUAAAAAAGCAUAAAUUAAAUAAAGGGACGAAAAGACCCUAUCAAGUUUUAUAUAUAAAUUAAUUUAUCUCUAAUUAAUUUAUAUGUUUGUUUGGGGCGAACUAAAAAUAAUAAACUUUUUAAAAAUUUAAUAACCUUUACGUUUAUAUUUUCUCUAAAAUUUUUAAAUUACUAAUUACUGUAGGGGUAACAGCAUAAUUUUUUUUACAAGUACAUAUUGUAAAAAAAGUUUAUGACCUCGAUGUUGGGUUAAUUUAACCUAAAAAUGAAUAAGUUUUUAAGGUGUGUCUGUUCGACGCUUAAAAUAUUACA